AGAUAUUAAUUUCACAAAGGACGGGAAUUCUUGAAAGCCUUUUUCACAGUGUUGGCUACUCCUCUUUCAGGUCUGCACCACAGGAGGAUGCUUUUCCUGGUCUUCCCCACUUUCAGCAUUUCUUGUGAGUAUGCACUGGAUUUUCAUGGAGAACAGCCUGACAGGACCUGCCUACUUCAAAGAGAAAGCUGUCUGGACGAAGGGAUUGCCAUCCAGAGAUGCCUCCAAGAUGAAGCUAACAUAAAGAAAACUACAGUAUACAAAUCUCUCUUUUUCCCCCAACAUUCCAUAUGGGUGAAUUCAAGUAAACAUUGGAUGAAGUCUUGAAAAGACAAUGAUAUGCGCUCUUAUACAGAGAAAAGCCCACACGUAUCAAGCUAUUUACAAGGCAUGACACUUUAGUUUUCUCCUCCCGGUUUACUCUUCUACCUUCUGCAAUGUAUUGUUUUUUUCUAGCUUUUAUUUUAGGUUCAUGGGUACAUGCGUGAGUUUGCUAUAUAGAUAAACUGCAUAUCACAGGGGUUUGCUAUACAGAUUAUUUUGUCAUGCAGGUAGUAAGCAUCAUACCUGAUAGAUAGUUUUCUUUAAUCUUCUUCCUUCCUCCUUCCAUCCUCAAAUAAGACCCAGUGUCUGUUGUUCCCCUCAUUGUGUCUGCAUGACUCAAUGUUUAGCUCCCACUUAUGAGUGAGGACAUGUGGUAUUUGCCUUUCUGACCCUGCAUUAGUUCGCAUAGGAUUAGAACCUCCAGCUGCAUCCAUGUUCUCACUCUGUUUUUAUGGUUGCAUUGUAUUCCAUGGUGUAUAUGUACCACAUUUCUUUGUUCAGUCUUUCACUGAUAGACAUUCAGGUGGAUUCUAUGUUUUUGCUAUUGUGAAUAGAGCUGCAGUGAAUAUGUGUGUGCAUCUGUCUUCAUGGUAGAAUAAUUUAUAUUUCUUUGAAUAUACAUACUCAGUAAUGGAAUAGUUGAGCCAAAUGCCAAUCCUGUUUUAAGUUCUUUGAGACUUUCCCAUACUGCCUCCAUCAGUGGUUGAACUAAUUUACAUUCCCACCAGUGAUAUAUAAGCAUUCCCUUUUCUCUGCAAACUCACCAGCAUCUGCUAUUCUUUUUAUUUUUUAUUAAUAGCCAUUCUGACAAGUAUGAGGUGGUAUCUUACUGUGGUUUUGAUUUGCAUUUCUCUAAUCAUUAGUGAUAUUGAGUAUUUUUCAUAUGUUUAUUGGCUGCAUGCAUGUCUUAUUUUCAAAAGUGUUUGUUCAUGUUCUUUGCCUUUUUAAUGGUGUUUUUUUCUUGUAAAUUUGUUUAACUUACUUAUAGAUUCUGGAUAUUAGACAUUUGUCAGAUGUAUGGUUUGCAAAAAUUAUCUCCAUUUUGUAGGUUAUCUAUUUACUCUGUUGAUAGUUUCUUUUCCUGUGCAGAACUUCGUUAAUUUAAUUACAUUCCAUUUGUCAAUUUUUGGUUUUGUUGCAAUUGCUGAAAGCAAUUUCAUCAUGAAAUCUAGUUCAUCAUGGAAUCUUUGUCAUGAAGUCUAAUUCUGUGAAGAAUGUCAUUGACAGUCUGAUAGAAAUAGCAUUUAGCUUGUAAAUUGAUUUUGGCAAUAUGGUCAUUUCCUAUGCCAGUUCCCGUUCCAGAGCAAAAAGACAUGUUACAAUAAGAUGUUUGCUCUGGGAUGUAGACCAACAUAGAAAACAUCACACAGCCACCUUGCCUUUUAUCUUCUGUUUCUUUGAGCCGAGAGCCCCAGCAGGAUAUGGGGCAGAAUGAUAAAGGAAUAGUAGGGAUGUUUAUUCUCUAGCCCCCACCAUGAGAAACCUCCAGCCCCAGGGAAGAUUGGCAGAAACCUCCAGCCCCAAUGAAGGUCACAGCUUCUCUCAAGGUGGUCCCUGGGCACAAGGUUCUCUACUUCCAACUUAUAGAUACCACUCCCUUUCCUUAUUUCUGCAGGUCAAAACUGAUUACACCUGUUAUGCACCCCAGGAAACAGCCUUCUACUCUCUGAUUUCCAUGUGCUCUUUAAAACUCUUUCAUUUAUUAAAAC
This 2033-nucleotide long non-coding RNA is filed under the name Callithrix jacchus (white-tufted-ear marmoset). Its description in RNAcentral is "lncRNA (ENSCJAG00000061714.2)". Lineage: Eukaryota; Metazoa; Chordata; Mammalia; Primates; Cebidae. The record is from RNAcentral.